UCCGGAUAAAUGUGUCCAUUCAUAUUCCUAGGUGUGAGUUUCACAUUAAGCAACAAGAGGAAGAGCAAUGAACACGUUUUUGUAAAUGCAAUUACAAAACCUAACUUUAGUUCCAAGAGAAACAUGUCUCCUAUACAAAAAGAAAGUUCAAGCCCAAAGUCACUAGGUCAGUGUCAUAACUUCCAAUUUCUGCAGCCAGGAUAUGUCUUUAAUCUUCUCUAACUCGUUUCUUAGUAGCCCCAGAAGGAUAUCCGCUCUGAUCCAAUGUGCUAGAACCACCACUCUGCAGUCUCUCAGUUACUGAUGCUUGUGAAAGGUUUGGUGAUGGAGCUGAAGAAGUGUCAGCUUCUGGCAUUGAUGAUGUGCCAGAAGAAGAACCAAUUUUCUUCUCUUGCAUCUUCUGUUGUUGUUUCUCAAUCAUCAUCUGGAGAUACCGACCUUGUUCCUCAAUUUGUAACUGCAACGUUCUUUGGACCUGGCAUUGUAAUAAUACACACAUCAUUAGAUAAAACCUAAACACUAGGAGUCAGAAAAGGAAGAGUAUAAGCUCCUUUUGACGCUGUUGGAAUCAUACCUCAAGUUGCUCAUGGAGUUUUUUCUGAACUUCCAUCUGUAACCGUAGAGCUUCAGUGAUCUCAAUGCUCCUGAAGAAGAAGAAGAAGACAAAUAACAAAAUCGUCAGUAUUAUAAGAACAAACUUCCUUAUGUUUUACAUAGUUUGUUCUGACAGAAAGAACUGAAGUUUAUAGCUUACGUCUUCAAGUCAAGAGAUUUGAUAUCUUCAAUGGUCUUCAAAGUCUUCAGUGGAGGUUUUUCUGUUCAAACAAAGAAACCAAAUUUAGCACAAAUACUUGUUUCCUCACACACACAAGGUCUCUUAGAUUGCAUCAAAGCUAUUUCCAAAGUAGCAUAACCAAAGGCUUUAGUGAAAAAUUGAGAAGAGAGCUUGAUUCAUUAGAUACCUGUAUCUACUGAAAUCUCCGGUUUAUACCUAGCCGUUCUGUAUUUCUGGAGAGAAGUAAAACAAUAUAAAGACGGUUCAGAUUACAAAUGAGAUGAGCUAAAGCAGACAAACCAAAAAUCAGAGAUAAUAAGAACAAAUAAUAACCUGCAAAUGACUUUUGACAUGGUAUAUGGUGAGCCCCGGGUUAUUGAUGAGCUUCAAUACAGCCUUAGGUGUGGCUCCUAUGGUUUUGCAGUUAUAAGAAAUAAUAAGUUUUAGAACUAAAAUGAGAAGAGAGAGAGAAAAGAAAAGGCGCUCACGCACGUUCACUACCGCCGAGCUGAUUAAUAGCAUCAACAAACGCUUCAUGGAGUUCAGGUGUCCAACGCAUUCGUUGCUUAGAUGUAAUUGAACUAGCUUGUGGGCUUUUGGCACUCGAAGGAUCCACCUGAUGCUGAGUACUGACUACUAUCUCUUGCCUAGCUACAUCACAAGAGGGUGCUGGUAUCUGCAACACAUCAUGAGAGUUUUUCUUAAUAAGAAUCUUUAAGCCAGUGAUUUAGCUGCAGAAACAAACCUUUGAAUCUUGGUUGAGGACAUUAGGAUCACCUAGAAGCUCCGACCAAUUAGGUUCCAGACCAUCAUUAUCAACAGAGAUCAUCUGACUAGCCCAGUCUGGCCAUUCGCUUUUCGCUCUGAAUCUCAAUCUCAAUCUCAAUCUCAAUCUCACUGACUUCCUCUUUAAACCAUAUAAUGAUUCAGCAAACGAAGCAUCUGCAAACAAACAAUUCAUUAAAAAAAAAACUAAACUUUAUACACAUUCACACUCCUUCAAGCACAAACACAUUAUAUUCAGAAUCUAACAUGUGGUUCGUAAGCUAUGUCCUUCAAGAACAAGCAUCAGAGCAGCAAAGAACUCAUCCUCGUAGUCUAAGAUUCUGUGAAGAAACGAUCUUCUCAAUGCAAAAACCUACAAAAAAAAAACCAACGAACAUGAAUAUGUAAUAGAAUCUCGAAGCUAAGAAGGAGGAAGAGUUAUUUGAAUUUUACGCCGAGGGAGUAUGUGAGAGCGGCGCGGAGGCUAGAUGGAAGCUGCUGAGCUGCAGCCAUCUCGAAGAAGGUAGGGCGCGUGCCAUCACCUCCUACCUGAAACAGCAUCUUCUUCUUGAUUACUUGAUAAAGGCGAGACCUUUAGCUUUCUCCAGAACUGCAGAAAAGAAAAAAACGUAAUUCGAGAGAGAAUUAUAUUAUUACGUCGUAAAGCCACGUCAGCAACAUUACAAUAGCUGACUCGUCAGCCGACAGUAGUCCAGCUAGACAACGAUUUCUCCAUGUCAUCUCAUCACCAAUUUAAAAUUGUUUAGUUAGGAGUAGGUUCGAUUUUGGUUCGGGUAUUUCUAUUUGUGUAUUUCAAUUUUUAGUUUUCGUUUUUUUUUUCAGAAUUUAAGAACUGUUUGGUUAUUUACAAAAUUCAGUCCGAUUUCGAUUCAGAUUAUUUAAGUUUUUUUGGUUUGGAUAGCAAAAUUUAAAAAACUAGCUAAUAUACGGAAAAAAUUGGAUUUAGUUCGGUUCCGAUUUUUUUGGGUAAUUUUGGAUAAUACAGAUGAAAACAUGGAAUAAUUCGAAUUUUCAUAUUAAAUACUAGAUAAUUUAGUUUGUUUGAAAAUAAAAUAGGUAAAAACUAUUCGGAUAACUCGGGCUUUUAAGUAUUUUGGUUCAUAAACAUUAUUUUAGGAUAUUUAGGUUCGAUUUUAUUUUUGUUCGAAAUAUAUAAAAACCGUCUAAAUAUUUAUGAAAUAUAGAUCGGUUUCAAUUAUUUUGAGUUGGUAUGGUUUAAUUUUUUUUGUUCCGGAUAAAUGUGUCCAUUCAUAUUCCUAGGUGUGAGUUUCACAUUAAGCAACAAGAGGAAGAGCAAUGAACACGUUUUUGUAAAUGCAAUUACAAAACCUAACUUUAGUUCCAAGAGAAACAUGUCUCCUAUACAAAAAGAAAGUUCAAGCCCAAAGUCACUAGGUCAGUGUCAUAACUUCCAAUUUCUGCAGCCAGGAUAUGUCUUUAAUCUUCUCUAACUCGUUUCUUAGUAGCCCCAGAAGGAUAUCCGCUCUGAUCCAAUGUGCUAGAACCACCACUCUGCAGUCUCUCAGUUACUGAUGCUUG
This 3100-nucleotide long non-coding RNA is filed under the name Brassica napus (rape). Its description in RNAcentral is "long non-coding RNA (BNAP_LNC004757)". Lineage: Eukaryota; Viridiplantae; Streptophyta; Magnoliopsida; Brassicales; Brassicaceae. The record is from RNAcentral.